UACGGAGGAUGCAAGCGUUAUCCGGAUUUAUUGGGUUUAAAGGGUGCGCAGGUUGUUUGAUAAGUCAGUGGUGAAAGUCUGUCGCUUAACGGUAGGAUUGCCAUUGAUACUGUUGGACUUGAAUAUGGAUGAGGUGGGCGGAAUGUGUAGUGUAGCGGUGAAAUGCUUAGAUAUUACACAGAACACCGAUUGCGAAGGCAGCUUUCUGGGCCGUUACUGACGCUGAUGCACGAAAGCGUGGGGAUCGAACAGGAUUAGA
This 259-nucleotide ribosomal RNA is filed under the name uncultured prokaryote. Its description in RNAcentral is "partial 16S ribosomal RNA". It matches the Rfam family "Bacterial small subunit ribosomal RNA", at positions 524 to 782 of the family's 1533-position model. The record is from RNAcentral.